RNAcentral lists this ribosomal RNA (1014 nucleotides) under Triticum aestivum (bread wheat). Its description in RNAcentral is "partial small subunit ribosomal RNA". Lineage: Eukaryota; Viridiplantae; Streptophyta; Magnoliopsida; Poales; Poaceae. The record is from RNAcentral.
AUGGAAGAAGAUCAGGUUAAAUUAGCAACACUCAUCGCGGAGCUAGAGGAGCCAGUACAUACUUUGUGCUUGCCGGCAAUUGACCCUCCUAAUACUAAGAGAAAGAAGGGAAGGGCAAUAAAGAAUUUUUCUGAGUAGAUAGAGAAAGAGCCUCCAGUGAAUUGGUAUUUGCUGCAUGACACCCAUGGAGCUAGGUAUGGCCACAUGACAACCAAUCUUGCAGAGGUGUAUAACUUAGUGCUGAGAGGGAAUAGAGCAUUGCCACUCACAGCUAUUGUGGAGGCUGUAUUCCAUGGCACUUUGAGAUAUUUCAGAGAAAGGCACGAGUUAGCAAAGAAGCAUAUUGAAGAUAAUCAAAACACACCUUAUUGUAGCCGUGUCAUGGAAUACAUGGCAAAGAAGAUAGAGAAAGCAAAGAAGCACACUAUCAGACUCAUAGGGAAUCAAGAAAGGAGGUAUGAGGUUUAGCUUCCUACCGAUGGUUUUGGUUCUGGACAUCAGGUGAAGACACACGAGGUAAAAAUUGGAACGGAAGUUUAUCCAACGUGUGAGUGUACAUGCAAAAAACCAAAGUUGUUGCACCUACCUUGCUCUCAUGUGUUGGCUGCCUGUGGCCAGAUUGAGUUGGAUGCUAUCUCCUUCGUGUCCCCAUACUAUUUAAAAGAGGCAGUGCUCAACACAUGGACAGGUGAGAUGACGGGGUUUAGAGUCGUCGGCAAUUUUAACAAGGUAAACGACGGUGCGAGAGUAUACAUCCUGCAUCCAGACCUUCGGCGAACAAGUAGGGGCAGACGAAAGGCUCGUCGCAUCCGAAAUGAUAUGGACCAAUCUGAAGCUGGUGGAGCAACCAGACAAUGUUUGUCAUGCGCGGCUUAUGGGCAUAGGAUGAAAUAUUGUCCCGACCUGAACAAAGAUGGUGCUUCCACAUCGACGACUGCAACAACAGGAGCAAGAGGCGGACGUGGUCGUGGCAGUCGAGGCCGAAGGGGCGGACGAGGAAGAAAUAACUCAUAA